CUCCGGUUGAUCCCGUCGGACCCGACUGCUAUCAGAGUGGGACUAAGCCAUGCGAGUCGACAUAGCAAUAUGUGGCAUACGGCUCAGUAACACGUAGUCAACAUGCCCAGGGGACGUGGAUAACCUCGGGAAACUGAGGAUAAACCGCGAUAAGCCAAGGUUUCUGGAAUGGACACUGGCUGAAACCUAUACGGCCCCUGGAUUGGACUGCGGCCGAUCAGGCUGUUGGUGAGGUAAUGGCCCACCAAACCUGUAACCGGUACGGGCUUUGAGAGAAGGAGCCCGGAGAUGGGCACUGAGACAAGGGCCCAGGCCCUAUGGGGCGCAGCAGGCGCGAAACCUCUGCAAUAGGCGAAAGCUUGACAGGGUUACUCUGAGUGAUGCCCGCUAAGGGCAUCUUUUGGCACCUCUAAAAAUGGUGCAGAAUAAGGGGUGGGCAAGUCUGGUGUCAGCCGCCGCGGUAAUACCAGCACCCCGAGUGGUCGGGACGAUUAUUGGGCCUAAAGCAUCCGUAGCUUGUUCUGCAAGUCCUCCGUUAAAUCCAGCUGCUCAACAGAUGGGCUGCGGGAGAUACUACAGGGCUAGGAGGCGGGAGAGGCAAGCGGUACUUUAUGGGUAGGGGUAAAAUCCGCUGAUCCAUAGAAGACCACCAGUGGCGAAGGCGGCUUGCCAGAACGCGCUCGACGGUGAGGGAUGAAAGCUGGGGGAGCAAACCGGAUUAGAUACCCGGGUAGUCCCAGCUGUAAACGAUGCAGACUCGGUGAUGAGUUGGCUUAUUGCUAACUCAGUGCCGCAGGGAAGCCGUUAAGUCUGCCGCCUGGGUAGUACGGUCGCAAGACUGAAACUUAAAGAAUUGGCGGGGGAGCA
This 867-nucleotide ribosomal RNA is filed under the name uncultured archaeon. Its description in RNAcentral is "bacterial SSU rRNA". It matches the Rfam family "Archaeal small subunit ribosomal RNA", at positions 1 to 878 of the family's 1478-position model. The record is from RNAcentral.